Molecule: unclassified non-coding RNA, 21 nt
Filed under: Chlamydomonas reinhardtii
Lineage: Eukaryota; Viridiplantae; Chlorophyta; Chlorophyceae; Chlamydomonadales; Chlamydomonadaceae
Description: small RNA Cre_3502
Source: RNAcentral
UGGUUGCAAUAGAAAUCAUGC